Molecule: long non-coding RNA, 641 nt
Organism: Heterocephalus glaber (naked mole-rat)
Lineage: Eukaryota; Metazoa; Chordata; Mammalia; Rodentia; Bathyergidae
Source: RefSeq, a predicted model, not a curated record
CUCCUGGAAGCCGUCUGGAUAAAGUGGGUGGGUGGCAGGCCCAGCACCUUCAACAAGUACAAUGAGGUUGGUUCACUCUUUGUGGAGUCAUAAAGUCAAAGGCUGUUAAGAGCUAGGCAGAUUUUGGUUAAACUCUGCCUUUUACUGUGAAGGUCCCAGGGAUAUUAAGUAGUGACAUCCAGUGAGUGGACAGCAGACCCAAAGCCUAUGUCUUUCAACUCCUGAUCCAAGGCUGUUUCUUGCCCUAAGACUGAACGGUGCCCAUGUUACUCUACACAGUCAUCAGCACCCUGGACAGCGGCCAGGCCUCGCUGUCAGAUGCCCGAUCACAAUGGAUUAAAACGGCAUAUCACAACGCGGAGCACUAAGAAAGGGGUUCAGAGAGACUGAGAAAUUACCGCGGUCACCUUCAGCCCUUGUUCCCAGCCAUAAUCCACCCAACCCUGCCUUCCUGCUCCUCAGCGCCACCUGAAGUCAAGAGGAGACCAGGGGCUACAGCACAAGGCAACAGAGCAAGGACAGGCUUCCCACCCUCCUGGAUUCAGGUCUGUGUGUCGGUCAGCAUGUGGAUGGCACUGAUUCUGAGCUCAUUCACCAGCAAGAAUACUCACCUACAAUACAGAAGUCGACCAAGAAAAGAG